AAUAGAUACCCAGAUAGUCCUGGCCCUAAACGAUGAAUGCUUGGUGUGGCGGGUAUCGAUCCCUGCCGUGCCGAAGUUAACGCGAUGAGCAUUCCGCCUGGGGAGUACGGUCGCAAGGCUGAAACUCGAAGGAAUUGACGGGGGCCCGCACAAGCGGUGGAGCAUGUGGUUCAAUUCGACGCAACGCGAAGAACCUUACCUGGGCUCGAAAUGCAGAUGACCAUCGGCGAAAGUCGACUUCCGCAAGGACAACUGUAUAGGUGCUGCAUGGCUGUCGUCAGCUCGUGUCGUGAGAUGUUGGGUUAAGUCCCGCAACGAGCGCAACCCUUGUUCUCUGUUGCCAUCAGGUCAAGCUGGGCACUCUGAGGAGACUGCCGGUGACAAACCGGAGGAAGGUGGGGAUGACGUCAAGUCAGCAUGGCCUUUAUGUCCAGGGCUACACACGUGCUACAAUGGCCGGUACAAAGCGCUGCAAGCCCGCGAGGGUAAGCCAAUCGCAU
RNAcentral lists this ribosomal RNA (500 nucleotides) under uncultured bacterium. RNAcentral's name for it is "bacterial SSU rRNA". It matches the Rfam family "Bacterial small subunit ribosomal RNA", at positions 777 to 1277 of the family's 1533-position model. The record is from RNAcentral.